GACGAACGCUGGCGGCGUGCUUAACACAUGCAAGUCGAACGGAAAGGCCCUGCUUUCGUGGGGUGCUCGAGUGGCGAACGGGUGAGUAACACGUGAGUAACCUGCUCUUGAUUUUGGGAUAACUUCAGGAAACUGGGGCUAAUCCCGGAUAGGAGCCCCUGCUGCAUGGUGGGGGUUGGAAAGUCUCGGCGGUCGGGGAUGGAUGCGCGGCUUAUCAGCUUGUUGGUGGGGUAGUGGCUUACCAAGGCUUUGACGGGUAGCCGGCCUGAGAGGGUGACCGGCCACAUUGGGACUAAGAUACGGACCAGACUCCUACGGGAGGCAGCAGUGGGGAAUAUUGCACAAUGGGCGGAAGCCUGAUACAGCAACGCCGCGUGCGGGAUGACGGCCUUCGGGUUGUAAACCGCUUUCGCCUGUGACGAAGCGUGAGUGACGGUAAUGGGUAAAGAAGCACCGGCUAACUACGUG
RNAcentral lists this ribosomal RNA (468 nucleotides) under uncultured bacterium. RNAcentral describes it as "partial 16S ribosomal RNA". It matches the Rfam family "Bacterial small subunit ribosomal RNA", at positions 28 to 507 of the family's 1533-position model. The record is from RNAcentral.